This 672-nucleotide ribosomal RNA is filed under the name Chlosyne lacinia (bordered patch butterfly). Its description in RNAcentral is "partial 16S ribosomal RNA". The record is from RNAcentral. Lineage: Eukaryota; Metazoa; Arthropoda; Insecta; Lepidoptera; Nymphalidae.
AUAUAAAAAUUUGCCGAAUUCCUUUAAAUUAUUUUUAAAUAAAUUUUAUUUUUAUUUUUUUUUUCAUAUACUAAUUUUAUCAUUAUAACUAAUUUUUUUUUAUUAUAAAUUUUUUUUUUAUAUAAAUUUAAAUAUUAAAUUAAAUUUUAUUUUAAUUAAAAUUAUUUAUAAUAAAUUAUAAUUUUUAAACAAUAUAAAUUUUAAAAAUUUUAAUCAUUAAGUUUAAUUUUAUUAUAAAUAUUUAAAUUAAAGCUUAUCCCCUAAAAUAUUAAAUAUUAAAUUUUUAUAAUUAAUUUAAAAAAUUAUAAAAUUAUUUAAAUUUAAAAUUAAAUUUUUUUCUAAAAAAACUAGAUAUAUUUAAAAACGAUUAACAUUUCAUUUCUAAUUAAUUAUUAAAAAUAAUUAUACAACAUUAACUUUAUUAAUUAAUUAACUCUUUUAAAUUCGAGAUUUAUUUAAAUAAAUUAUUUUUAUUUAAUAAACUCUGAUACACAAGAUACAAUAAAUUAAAUUUACUUUUAAAUUAAUUAAUUUCACAUAUUUAUAAUUUCCUUUACAGUAAUAUUUCACUAUAAACUUAUUAAUUUUUUCUAUUAAAAAUACUUAAACCCCCAUUUUUUCUUUUUAAUAUUAAAAAUUUUUUUAUUAAACUUACAUCAUUAAUUUAACCCC